Molecule: small nuclear RNA, 107 nt
Organism: Loxodonta africana (African savanna elephant)
Lineage: Eukaryota; Metazoa; Chordata; Mammalia; Proboscidea; Elephantidae
Source: Ensembl
GUGCUCAAUUCGGCAGCACGUAUAAGAAAACUGGAACAACACAGAGAAGAUUAGCAUGUCCUCUGCGCAAGGAUGACACACAAAUUCGUGAAGCGUUCCAUAUUUUU